Molecule: long non-coding RNA, 220 nt
Filed under: Elaeis guineensis (African oil palm)
Lineage: Eukaryota; Viridiplantae; Streptophyta; Magnoliopsida; Arecales; Arecaceae
Description: long non-coding RNA (EGUI_LNC006823)
Source: RNAcentral
GGGAUUGAGUGAAAAAAUUCUAUUCUACAAUAAAUGGCAUAUGCGAGAAUCCAUGCAUGCUCUAUAAAUUAAAUAGAAAUCUCCAUUUUCCAAUCUCAAAUUGGGCAAGGACAAGCCUUCGGUUGUUGGAUUCCACAACUUAAUCCGGACCAAUUUGCCGUCUGCAAAGCCUAACGUCAGUUGAGCUGGCGGAGGCCUUUUUCUACGUAGGUUGGUUGGC